AUUGAACGCUGGCGGCAGGCCUAACACAUGCAAGUCGAGCGGAUGAAGGGAGCUUGCUCCUGGAUUCAGCGGCGGACGGGUGAGUAAUGCCUAGGAAUCUGCCUGGUAGUGGGGGAUAAGGUCGGAAAGUGGGGCCAAUUACGCCAACCGCCCUGAGGGAGAACGGGGGGGACCUUGGGACCUUCGGCCCUCGGACGAGCCUAGGUGCGGUUAGCUAGUUGGGGGGGUAAAGGCAUACAAAGGCGCCAAUCCGAAACGGGUUUGAGAGGAUGAUCGGUCACACGGGAACUGAGACACGGUCGAGACUUCUACGGGAGGCGGCAGUGGGGAAUAGUGGACAAUGGGCGAAAGCCUGAUACAGCCAUGCCGCGUGUGUGAAGAAGGUCUUCGGAUUGUAAAGCACUUUAAGUUGGGAGGAAGGGCAGUAAGUUAAUACCUUGCUGUUUUGACGUUACAAACAGAAUAGGCACCGGCUAACUUCG
This 482-nucleotide ribosomal RNA is filed under the name uncultured bacterium. RNAcentral's name for it is "partial 16S ribosomal RNA". It matches the Rfam family "Bacterial small subunit ribosomal RNA", at positions 29 to 505 of the family's 1533-position model. The record is from RNAcentral.